Neogale vison (American mink) is the source of this 194-nucleotide long non-coding RNA. RefSeq lists it as uncharacterized. The record is from RefSeq and is a predicted model, not a curated record. The transcript is spliced from 3 exons. Lineage: Eukaryota; Metazoa; Chordata; Mammalia; Carnivora; Mustelidae.
GGUUUUCUUCCCUCUGUGUUCAGCUCUCCAGGUUAUGCUGGUGUAUUUGGCCUUGGCGUGUGCAAGUGGCAUUGGAGUCCCGGGCUCUGAACACACAAAGAGUGAGUUCGACGCUCUCCCAGAGCUCUUUCUCCUACAAAAGGAGGUAUACAAGAAGGAUACAUUUUAGUUCUACGCUAAAAAGCAGAUGAGUG